AUUAUAGCUCUAAAAUGUGUACAUAUCGCCCGUCACUCUUGUUAUAAAAUAAGAUAAGUCGUAACAUAGUAGAUGUACUGGAAAGUGUAUCUAGAAUGACAAAUUAGAGCUUGUUUAGAAAAGUAAUUUAUUUACAUUAAAUAGUUGUUGUGCAAAUCAAUAUAAUUUGAAAAAAAAAUAUUAUUAAUAUAAUUAGUUAGUUAUUUUUAAUAAAAAUAAUUUUAAAUAUAAAAAUUUAAGUAUUUUUUAUAGAAAAAAUUAUUAUAAUUAUAGUGAAUUAGUAUUGUAAAAGAAAUAUUAAAUAAAUUAAAUUUUAUUUAUAAGUAAAAUUUAUUUUUUGUACCUUGUGUAUCAGGGUUUAUUAAAUAAUAAUUAUAUAAAUUAAUUUUCCCGAAUUUAAAAGAGAUAAUAAGUAAUUUUUUUUAUUGUAAAAAAAAUAUUUAAAAUUAUUUAUUAGUAAUGAAAAGUUAUUCGUUUUUAAAUAUAUCUGGUUUAUAAAGAAAUAAUUUAAAUUUAGUUAAUUUUAUUUUAUUAAUUUAUUUUUUUAAAUUAAUAGAUUUUUUUAGCACUAGUUAAAGGGAUAAGCUUUUAAUUAAAAUUUUAUAAUUUUUAAUAUUAAAAAAAAUAUAUAGGUUUAGAAAUAUCCAUUAUUUUUCGGCAAAAAUUUUAUUCGCCUGUUUAAUAAAAACAUGUCCUUUAGAUAAUAAUUAUUUAAGGUCUAACCUGCCCAUUGAUAAGUUAAAAGGCCGCAGUAAUUUGACUGUGCAAAGGUAGCAUAAUCAUUAGUUUUUUAAUUAAAAGCUUGUAUGAAUGGUUGGACGAGAUAAAAUCUGUCUCUUUAUAAAAAAUAGAAUUUAAUUUUUAAGUUAAAAAGCUUAAAUUUUUGUAAAAGACGAGAAGACCCUAUAGAUCUUUAUAUAAUUUUUUUUAAUAUUAAUAAAGAAAAUUUUAUUUAUUAAAAUUAUUUUUAUUUUAUUGGGGUAAUAAAUAGAUUAAUUUAAUUCUUUUUUUUAAUACAAUAAUUAUUGACUAUAUGAUCCAUUAUUAAUGAUUAUAAGAUUAAGUUACCUUAGGGAUAACAGCGUAAUUUUUUUAGAGAGUUCUUAUCAAUAAAAAAGUUUGCGACCUCGAUGUUGGAUUAAAAGUAAUUCUAGGUGCAGAAGUUUAGAAUUUUGGUCUGUUCGACCAUUAAAUUUUUACAUGAUCUGAGUUUAGACCGGCGUAAGCCAGGUUGGUUUCUAUCUUUAUUUAAUUAAUAUAUUUUAGUACGAAAGGACCAAUUAUAUAAUAUAUUAAUAUUUAUUUUUUGUAUAUAAUUAUUACUUUGGCAGAUUAGUGUAAUGAAUUUAGA
RNAcentral lists this ribosomal RNA (1351 nucleotides) under Hydroporus obscurus. RNAcentral describes it as "16S ribosomal RNA". The stretch from base 1075 to 1233 matches the Rfam family "Archaeal large subunit ribosomal RNA", at positions 2544 to 2703 of the family's 2987-position model. The record is from RNAcentral. Lineage: Eukaryota; Metazoa; Arthropoda; Insecta; Coleoptera; Dytiscidae.